UCGUGUGAUGUGACAGCUGGCAUCGGUUGCGCGAGAUAUACCAAUAAAUUUAAAAUAUUCGAGAAGAUAUGAUGGGAUUAGCUAUUGGUGCUCAUGGUGCAAAUAUAUUCAACAAGCGUGAAAAGUUGAUGACAUUACAAAUAUCGUUAGAAGAAAAUUCAUGCACAUUUAAGACAUAAUAUAGAGAGACGCAUGAAGCUGUUAAAAAAGACUGAUUUAUGCUGGAAUACAGCGAUAACCUAGAAAUAAAUAGAUAGUGACAGUCGUGACCAUCGCCGCGUGAUAGAUAUAGUGAUAUAGUGAAAUAUAUAUUGACGGCAGGGAGCUGAUGCCGAUUUUCUUUAAGAAGGAAGGUGUAUCCAAAAUCGCACACGAACAUUUUAUAUUCAACUACGUGGUAUACAAUUUUGCCGCUAUAUAUUGACCGCAGGAAGCUGAUACCGAAGAGAUCUUUAAGAAGGAAGGUGUAUCCAAAAUUGCACAUGUAUGGGACUUGUGAGUUAUGCGAAGCAAUUGAUACUAUUAAGGUUCAUUGGUCAUAUGAAGUUUGCACACGUCAAGCUUGACAUCCUAAAGAUCACAAUGCAUUCUGAAAACGAUACCGUGCAGGUUCGUUGGCGUAUACGUGGUGUCAUCACAGGCUGGAAGGUAUUUUCUGUGUUUUGGAAGUAAAAUUUGGAAAAUACAACAUGUCAUAAAAUAAGCGCUAACCAGAAAAUGUAAGUGUAA
Long non-coding RNA from Temnothorax curvispinosus, 729 nucleotides. RefSeq lists it as uncharacterized. The transcript is spliced from 5 exons. NCBI's taxonomy places the organism in Eukaryota, Metazoa, Arthropoda, Insecta, Hymenoptera, Formicidae. The record is from RefSeq and is a predicted model, not a curated record.